Molecule: non-coding RNA, 83 nt
Organism: Boleophthalmus pectinirostris (great blue-spotted mudskipper)
Lineage: Eukaryota; Metazoa; Chordata; Actinopteri; Gobiiformes; Gobiidae
Source: the annotation of a RefSeq genome assembly
ACCAGGAUGGCCGAGUGGUGUAGGCGUUGGACUUAAGAUCCAAUGGGCAAUAGUCCUCGUGGGUGUGAACCCCACUCCUGGUA